Molecule: ribosomal RNA, 584 nt
Filed under: uncultured bacterium
Lineage: Bacteria
Description: bacterial SSU rRNA
Rfam family: Bacterial small subunit ribosomal RNA (bases 1-515)
Source: RNAcentral
CCUACGGGAGGCAGCAGUCGAGAAUCUUGGUCAAUGCACGAAAGUGUGAACCAGCGACGCCGCGUGAAGGAUGAAGGCCCUCUGGGUCGUAAACUUCUUUUACGGGAGAAGAAUCAAUGACGGUAUCCCGUGAAUAAGCCACGGCUAACUACGUGCCAGCAGCCGCGGUAAUACGUAGGUGGCAAGCGUUGUCCGGAUUUACUGGGCGUAAAGCGAACGCAGGCGGACCUUUAAGCAGGAAGUGAAAGGUUGGAGCUCAACUCUAACACUGCUCCCUAUACUGGAGGUCUUGAGUGCCGGAGAGGAAGACGGAACAAGUUGUGUAGCGGUGAAAUGCGUUGAUAUAACUUGGAACACCAAUGGCGAAAGCAGUCUUCUGGACGGAUACUGACGCUCAGGUUCGAAAGCCAAGGUAGCAAACAGGAUUAGAUACCCUGGUAGUCUUGGCCUUAAACGAUGUUCACUAGGUGUUGGGGGUAACCCUCGGUGCCGCAGCUACGCAUAGUAGACGCGUCGGACGUACGCGCGAGUAGACGUACGAAGAAGUAGCGCGNGAGAAGUGCGAGACGACGACGAGGGAGAGG